GAACGCCGUGUGCGGUGAAAGUCGCACGCACGGUGUGGAGCGGGGGAAAAUCCGAAGAUAACUUCAAAGGAUUACCUAUCGCUAU
Molecule: non-coding RNA, 85 nt
Filed under: Hungatella hathewayi DSM 13479
Lineage: Bacteria; Bacillati; Bacillota; Clostridia; Lachnospirales; Lachnospiraceae
Source: RNAcentral